AGGGAAAAGAAACCAACAGGGAUUGCCCUAGUAACGGCGAGUGAAGCGGCAACAGCUCAAAUUUGAAAUCUGGCCCCUUUGGGGUCCGAGUUGUAAUUUGCAGAGGGUGCUUUGGCGUUGGCGGCGGUCUAAGUUCCUUGGAACAGGACAUCGCAGAGGGUGAGAAUCCCGUAUGUGGUCGCAUGCCUUCGCCGUGUAAAGCCCCUUCGACGAGUCGAGUUGUUUGGGAAUGCAGCUCUAAAUGGGAGGUAAAUUUCUUCUAAAGCUAAAUACCGGCCAGAGACCGAUAGCGCACAAGUAGAGUGAUCGAAAGAUGAAAAGCACUUUGGAAAGAGAGUCAAACAGCACGUGAAAUUGUUGAAAGGGAAGCGCUUGCAGCCAGACUUGCCUGUAGUUGCUCACCCGGGCUCCUGCCCGGGGCACUCUUCUGCAGGCAGGCCAGCAUCAGUUUGGGCGGUCGGAUAAAGGGCUCUGACACGUACUUCCCCUCGGGGUUGACAUACAGGGGAGCCGCAAUGCGACCAGCCCGGACUGAGGUCCGCGCAUCUGCUAGGAUGCUGGCGUAAUGGCUGUAAGCGGCCCGUCUUGAAACACGGACCAAGGAGUCUAACAUCUAUGCGAGUGUUUGGGUGUCAAGCCCGAGCGCGCAAUGAAAGUGAACGGAGGUGGGAGCCCCUCGGGGUGCACCAUCGACCGAUCCUGAUGUCUUCGGAUGGAUUUGAGUAAGAGCAUAGCUGUUGGGACCCGAAAGAUGGUGAACUAUGCUUGAAUAGGGUGAAGCCAGAGGAAACUCUGGUGGAGGCUCGCAGCGGUUCUGACGUGCAAAUCGAUCGUCAAAUUUGGGCAUAGGGGCGAAAGACUAAUCGAACUAUCUAGUAGCUGGUUCCUGCCGAG
This 894-nucleotide ribosomal RNA is filed under the name Periconia macrospinosa. RNAcentral's name for it is "partial large subunit ribosomal RNA". It matches the Rfam family "Eukaryotic large subunit ribosomal RNA", at positions 53 to 965 of the family's 3401-position model. Lineage: Eukaryota; Fungi; Ascomycota; Dothideomycetes; Pleosporales; Periconiaceae. The record is from RNAcentral.